GGCUCUAUGUCUUAUUGUAAAUAUGGAGUCGGGCCUGCCCGGUGAAAAUUUUUAACGGCCGCGGUACUCUGACCGUGCAAAGGUAGCAUAAUAAUUUGCCUUAUAAUUGAAGGCUGGUAUGAAUGGUCUGACAAGAAUGAAACUGUCUCUUUAUGGUUAGUUAGAACUUUAUCUAUAGGUGAAAAAGCCUAUGUGUUAUUGAUAGACAAGAAGACCCUAUCGAGCUUUAAAGGAGUUGUAGUAUAAAGACUGCUUUGAUUUUGGUUGGGGCGACCGGGGAACAGAUAAAACUUCCCUACUAUAAAAAUACAUACGUGUGAUGAUCCAAAUUAUUUGAUUUAUGAAAUUAGUUACCGUAGGGAUAACAGCAUAAUCCUCUUUGAGAGCCCUUAUCGAAAAGAGGGCUUGUGACCUCGAUGUUGGACCAGGGCAUCCUGAAGGUGUAGCAGCCUUCAAGGGUUGGUCUGUUCGACCAUUAAAGCCCUACGCGAUCUGAGUUCAGACCGGCGUGAGCCAGGUCAGUUUCUAUCUUCAAUUCUUUUAGUAGACUUAGUACGAAAGGACCAGACUACUCUAAUUUUAAGUCUAAACGAUAUAAUAUAAUGUUUAAUUUGUCAGGCUAGCAGAAAAAAUGCAAUUGAUUUAGGUUCAGUAGGUAUGGUAUAAUCCUUGCCUGAUAGUAGAGGUGGCAGAAUA
Molecule: ribosomal RNA, 696 nt
Filed under: Coralliophila mira
Lineage: Eukaryota; Metazoa; Mollusca; Gastropoda; Neogastropoda; Muricidae
Description: partial 16S ribosomal RNA
Rfam family: Bacterial large subunit ribosomal RNA (bases 1-557)
Source: RNAcentral